RNAcentral lists this ribosomal RNA (411 nucleotides) under Macaca ochreata (booted macaque). Its description in RNAcentral is "partial 12S ribosomal RNA". It matches the Rfam family "Bacterial small subunit ribosomal RNA", at positions 925 to 1522 of the family's 1533-position model. Lineage: Eukaryota; Metazoa; Chordata; Mammalia; Primates; Cercopithecidae. The record is from RNAcentral.
CCCUAGAGGAGCCUGUUCCAUAAUCGAUAAACCCCGAUCCACCUCACCCUCUCUUGCUUAGCCUAUAUACCGCCAUCUUCAGCAAACCCUGAUAAAGGUUACAAAGUGAGCACAAACGCCCUGCCGCCGCAAAAACGUUAGGUCAAGGUGUAGCCAAUGAAAGGGUAAAAAUGGGCUACAUUUUCUACAUCAGAAAACUCCACGAAAACUCUUAUGAAACCUGAGAGUCCAAGGAGGAUUUAGCAGUAAAUUAAGAAUAGAGUGCUUAAUUGAACCAGGCCAUAAAGCGCGUACACACCGCCCGUCACUCCCCUCAAAUAUAUUUAAGGAACAUCUUAACUAAACGCCCUAAUAUUUAUAUAGAGGGGAUAAGUCGUAACAUGGUAAGUGUACUGGAAGGUGCACUUGGAC